RNAcentral lists this small RNA (698 nucleotides) under Arabidopsis thaliana (thale cress). RNAcentral describes it as "ATSL224010". Lineage: Eukaryota; Viridiplantae; Streptophyta; Magnoliopsida; Brassicales; Brassicaceae. The record is from RNAcentral.
AUAUAUAUUUAUUAGGGCUAGACAUAAGUACUCGUUACUCGUCUUAUAUUCGCUACUUGAUUCGUAUUCGCCUUGAAAAAACAAAUGCUCGUUUUUAACAAGGCAAGUAACAAGUAGUAUAAUUUAGAUACUUGCAAGUACAAAUCAAGUAACAAGUAAUGAAAAAAAACUAAUACUCGACUCGUUUGACUCGAUACUCGUCAUUAUUUUACCAUUUUCUAUACAUAUAUUGUAUUGUUUUAGUGUUAGACACAUUUUAAAACUAUAUUAGAAGUAAAGUAAAUUUUAAAUAAGUAAAAAAUAUGAUAAAUAAAAUAAUAAGUAAUUUUAAGUAAUUCGAAAGUGUUACUUGCAAGUAAUUUAUUUGCAAGUAAUUCGCAAGUAGCAAGUAAUAACUCGUAAAUACUUGUAAAUAACUCGUGAAUAUCAAGUAGUAACUCGUAAGUACAUGUAAGUAACUCGCAAGUAGCAAGUAACAGGACAAGGCAAGUAACUCGCAAGGCAAUCAUAUUUUAGCAAAUACUUGAAAUUGUAAGUACUCGUUUUCAAUAAACCAAAUACAAUUACUUAUUUGAUUACUCGUACAAGGCAAGUCGAGUAACAAGUAUCCCUAAAAUAGCAAGUACUAGCCUUGCGCCCACCCCUAAUACUUACGUUAAAGUGGACGAUCUCAAUCUCUUUUUACAACCGAGAAUUGU